GUGGGGAAUCUUGCGCAAUGGGCGAAAGCCUGACGCAGCCAUGCCGCGUGAAUGAUGAAGGUCUUAGGAUUGUAAAAUUCUUUCACCGGGGACGAUAAUGACGGUACCCGGAGAAGAAGCUCCGGCUAACUUCGUGCCAGCAGCCGCGGUAAUACGAAGGGGGCUAGCGUUGCUCGGAAUUACUGGGCGUAAAGGGCGCGUAGGCGGAUCGUUAAGUCAGGGGUGAAAUCCCAGAGCUCAACUCUGGAACUGCCCUUGAUACUGGCGAUCUUGAGUGUGAGAGAGGUAUGUGGAACUCCGAGUGUAGAGGUGAAAUUCGUAGAUAUUCGGAAGAACACCAGUGGCGAAGGCGACAUACUGGCUCAUUACUGACGCUGAGGCGCGAAAGCGUGGGGAGCAAACAGGAUUAGAUACCCUGGUAGUCC
RNAcentral lists this ribosomal RNA (425 nucleotides) under uncultured bacterium. RNAcentral describes it as "partial 16S ribosomal RNA". It matches the Rfam family "Bacterial small subunit ribosomal RNA", at positions 354 to 796 of the family's 1533-position model. The record is from RNAcentral.